Molecule: ribosomal RNA, 468 nt
Filed under: uncultured bacterium
Lineage: Bacteria
Description: partial 16S ribosomal RNA
Rfam family: Bacterial small subunit ribosomal RNA
Source: RNAcentral
GACGAACGCUGGCGGCGUGCUUAACACAUGCAAGUCGAACGGAAAGGCCCUGCUUUUGUGGGGUGCUCGAGUGGCGAACGGGUGAGUAACACGUGAGUAACCUGCCCUUGACUUUGGGAUAACUUCAGGAAACUGGGGCUAAUACCGGAUAGGAGCUCCUGCUGCAUGGUGGGGGUUGGAAAGUUUCGGCGGUUGGGGAUGGACUCGCGGCUUAUCAGCUUGUUGGUGGGGUAGUGGCUUACCAAGGCUUUGACGGGUAGCCGGCCUGAGAGGGGGACCGGCCACAUUGGGACUGAGAUACGGCCCAGACUGCUACGGGAGGCAGCAGUGGGGAAUAUUGCACAAUGGGCGGAAGCCUGAUGCAGCAACGCCGCGUGCGGGAUGACGGCCUUCGGGUUGUAAACCGCUUUCGCCUGUGACGAAGCGUGAGUGACGGUAAUGGGUAAAGAAGCACCGGCUAACUACGUG